UGCCAGCCGCCGCGGUAAGACGGAGGGUGCAAACGUUGUUCGGAAUCACUGGGCAUAAAGCGCACGUAGGCGGUCCACUCAGUCGAGUGUGAAAGCCCCCGGCUCAACCGGGGAACUGCAUUCGAUACUGGUGGACUUGAGGACGGUUGGGGUGAGUGGAACUCCUGGUGGAGCGGUGAAAUGCGUAGAUAUCAGGAGGAACACCAGUGGCGAAAGCGGCUCACUGGACCGUAUCUGACGCUGAGGUGCGAAAGCUAGGGUAGCGAACGGGAUUAGAUA
RNAcentral lists this ribosomal RNA (279 nucleotides) under uncultured bacterium. RNAcentral's name for it is "partial 16S ribosomal RNA". It matches the Rfam family "Bacterial small subunit ribosomal RNA", at positions 506 to 784 of the family's 1533-position model. The record is from RNAcentral.